RNAcentral lists this ribosomal RNA (492 nucleotides) under uncultured bacterium. RNAcentral describes it as "partial 16S ribosomal RNA". It matches the Rfam family "Bacterial small subunit ribosomal RNA", at positions 29 to 507 of the family's 1533-position model. The record is from RNAcentral.
AGUGAACGCUGGCGGCAGGCCUAACACAUGCAAGUCGAACGGCAGCACAGUAAGAGCUUGCUCUUACGGGUGGCGAGUGGCGGACGGGUGAGGAAUACACCGGAAUCUACUUUUUAGUGGGGGAUAACGUAGGGAAACUUACGCUAAUACCGCAUACGACCUACGGGUGAAAGCAGGGGAUCUUCGGACCUUGCGCGAUUGAAUGAGCCGAUGUCGGAUUAGCUAGUUGGCGGGGUAAAGGCCCACCAAGGCGACGAUCCGUAGGUGGUCCGAGAGGAUGAUCAGCCACACUGGAACUGAGGAACGGUCCAAGCUCCUACGGGAAGGAGCAGGGGGGAAUAUUGGGAAAUGGGGGGAAAGCUGAUCCAGCCAAACCGCGUGGGAGAAGGAGGCCUUCGGGUUGUAAAGUCCUUUUGUAGGGAAAGAAAAGCAGCAGGUUAAUACCCCGCUGUUCUGACGGUACCCAAAGAAUAAGCACCGGCUAACUUCGUG